UACAGAGGGUGCGAGCGUUAAUCGGAAUUACUGGGCGUAAAGCGCACGUAGGUGGCGACGUAAGUCGGGUGUGAAAGCCCCGGGCUCAACCUGGGAAUUGCAUUCGAGACUGCAUUGCUGGAGUACGGAAGAGGAAGGCGGAAUUCCCGGUGUAGCAGUGAAAUGCGUAGAUAUCGGGAGGAACAUCUGUGGCGAAGGCGACACCCUGGACCAGCACUGACGCUGAGGCACGAAAGCGUGGGGAGCAAACAGG
Molecule: ribosomal RNA, 253 nt
Filed under: uncultured bacterium
Lineage: Bacteria
Description: partial 16S ribosomal RNA
Rfam family: Bacterial small subunit ribosomal RNA
Source: RNAcentral